This 253-nucleotide ribosomal RNA is filed under the name uncultured bacterium. Its description in RNAcentral is "partial 16S ribosomal RNA". It matches the Rfam family "Bacterial small subunit ribosomal RNA", at positions 524 to 776 of the family's 1533-position model. The record is from RNAcentral.
UACGGAGGGGGCAAGCGUUAUUCGGAAUUAUUGGGCGUAAAGCGUGCGCAGGCGGUUCUGAAAGUCAGCUGUGAAAGCCCCGGGCUUAACCUGGGAAUUGCGGUUGAAACUACAGGGCUAGAAUCUGGCAGAGGGGGGUGGAAUUCCACGUGUAGCAGUGAAAUGCGUAGAGAUGUGGAGGAACACCGAUGGCGAAGGCAGCCCCCUGGGCUGAGAUUGACGCUCAGGCACGAAAGCGUGGGGAGCAAACAGG